AGGUGAUCAGAAAAGGAAAUCCAAAAAUUCACCUUCAUCUUCCAGUCUUUGGUGAAGACAGUCAUAUGGACCCAUGAAUACUGGAAUAAGGGAAAGCCAAAUCUUGCAGCUUAUAUGGCUCUCAGUUAAGUUGUUAAACAUGUAGACAAUGAGGUUUCUCAUGCUGGAGGAAGCUGAGGUUUGAACCAGUAGUUUGUCCUUAAAUGGCCUAUUCAGCAACUCUGUCAUUUUUUGUCAGCUAACUCUGUUCAGAAAUAUGCAAUAUGUAUUGCACAAUCUAGUAGCUCUAAGGGUAACAUGGCAGACACAAAGACAUUGCUCGCCAGUCAUGUACAUGGCAUGCAACUCCCUGUCUGAAGGAUGGACAGCUAGGCUUUGGCAUGUCUGAACCUUCUUUUCUGCUGCAGAGAAAACUAUGAUAUCUGGUUUAGCAGUCUUUGUUCCAGAAAUCUCUUCCAUGGGGCCAGAACAUAUAGUCAGUCUUCUUUAGAAUGGAGUUCACCAUACCCAGAUUCUCUCAGCCACCCUGAUGGGAUCUUUAAGAAUGGUCACCCUGAUGGGAUCGUUAAGAAUGGUCACCCUGAUGGGAUCGUUAAGAAUGGCCACUGAGGAGGGACAACUGCGGGAUGAGACUGCAGGCUGUCUGCAGUGAAAAAUGGAAGGAUGAACUUCCCAUAUAUUUUAUCAAGAGAACUACUGGAGCCUCAACAUGAUGAAAUAAACUAACCAAAGCACAACCUUACAACUCCAGGAUCACACAACCAUGAUGAAAAAAAAGAAAAACCCAAUCACUGCCAGCACAAACCACCAAAGAAACUAUAUCAACAGUGAUGUCCUAGUGUAAUACGAUUAGGGAGUUCCAAACUGGGCAAUAAAAUAUCUUGAAAUUCAUCUGGAUUACACUCAACCAAAUGUAUGGAAGCAAGGGGAAAUGUAUGGGUUUAGCCAUCCAGGCCCCACAUUGUUUAUAUCCUGCAAGUAUUCCCUGACUGUAAAGUCAGUUUUUUGGGGGUGAGGGUAGAGAAUUAUCUGGUUUCUACUUAUCCUGAUUUUCCACUAGUGUUCACAAUGAACUACAUAUAUUUGCUGUUAGCCUAUACUUUUCUGGCUUUCUUGGGGGGUUGUUCUCAGUGUGAUGAAUAUAAGGCUUGUCUUUAGAAAGAUCUGGAUGGUGGGGAGGAUUUCAAAAGAUCAGAUGAACUUCUGAUUUGCUGUAGGAAAUAUCCACUUGAUCUGAAUGCUAAAUGAUUAAGGACAGAAGAAAAUGAUAUUAUCUCCAAUACUGACAACGUUAACAGCAGUGCAUGAUAGCAUUAAAGUUUCUGCCUGGAAGCCAUAUGUGCCAAUGGUAGAAUCUUGGUAAAACAACCAACAAUGCACACCCCAACACCAGAAUCCACAUGGAAAACAGUGUCAUCAUAGAGGCCAGAAUAAGUAUGGCCAACAUCAACAUGACUGGCACUGGAACAUUAUCUGUGCUGGUAGUCCCAGUGUGAAGAGGUGUAUAAGCACCAGAGCCAAUGUUUGAACAAGAUUGCCCACAACCUGGUGAUGAAUGCUGGUCAAAAAAAUAUUGGAAAUUGGUAACAGAAUUAUGGGUACUGGAGAUGGCACAGUUUCCAAAACAGUCAUUCUGGUUGACUCUUGAUGGGGUGAAUGAAGGGGUUGCAUUAGAAUGUCUGCUUGUGCAUUUAACAUGACCUCAGCAAGUUUAUCAUAACUGAAAGUGGGAAAAAUGGUGAAUGAAUCAAAUUUGAGGCAGCUGGCUUGGGGUCCAAGGCAGCACUGGGGUACUAGGAAACUCAACAGCUGUAGCAUCCAUAAUUACAAUACUAAUUCAGCAGAGCUUGCAGUCUUAGCUGUCUCAUUUACUAAAAUUUUGGCAGCAUGCCAAAGUAAAUAUUUUGCCAUUGUUAACUAGGUAGGUUCACUAGACAGAUAGGUAUGAUCAUCUUUCAAGAGCGUGGGGCAGGCCAAAUGUUACACAUACAGUCGGAUGAGAGGCAAUAUAAAUACAUUGCCAGAAAGUUUGCAUUUAGUUCAUAAAGCUGCCAAUAGAUUGUAGCUUUCAUCACAAGUGCAUGGAAGCAUGCUCCUGCACAGGGUAGGCACUGUGAGCCUUGAGAGUGAAACAGAUCAUGUGUUCUUCCCCCCAGGGGUAAGCACAGGGCCAUGAAAAAUGUUCUCACAGCCAGAAUGCCAGCAAAGGGCACAAUCAACCUUUGUGGCUGCUUAAUGAUGGCUUUACCAAACAGCCCUUGCCAAUGUAGUUGUCUGGACCCUCUACCACAAUGCUAUAAACUGUCUCAAGUCCGGUAUGGGGAGGCUUGAUUCUUAGCAGGCCUGGGAGCAAAAAGGACUUAGAGUAAAAAAAACAUUGGGGACAGAAGAAUCCUCCAUUAUUACUGGUGAAGAAGAUGUACAAGCCUAGACAAAAAUAGAAUGAACUUUCUUACUUUUUAGACAGGUAAGUGAACUAUAUUCUUGGUUCUUUUGCAGCCAAGACCUGGACAGAAUGGCAAAGGUAAUAUCUUAUUACAUUUUAUUUUAUGACAUUAAGUGCUGAUCAUAUUUGAUCUUUUCUUGUUUUUUCUAUGUUGUCAGGAUCUUCUACUAUGCCAAUUAGAAUAUUACUUGUUUUAAGUUGAAGGAUAGUACCAAUGAAGGUACCAACAAAGGUACCUGUUCUGAAAUGAAUUUUGGAAGCACUAACAGUAGUGGAGACUGUUUGGGUAUUAUUUUAACUAGCUGCAUAUCCUCAUUUUGGGGAGUUACCUUAAAUACUACACUCAUCUCUGAAACACUUGAAGUUGUUUAACUAGCAGAAUUCAAGGCCCUGAAGAACUUAAAUGUGUAUGUAUCUUCAGCCCUUUUUAAGGUAGCUGCUUUCAUCUUUUCCAUUUUCUUCUGUUGUUUUCAUUUAGAAAAAUACUUUACUUGGAAUUCAGUAAAGUGCCUAGCAUGAGCCAUACAGCUUGUAUCAGAAAAGCCCUUCUCCAACAAUGUCCUCAUUUGCGAUUCAGACAUACAAUAGCCACUAAGAGUGUACACUUCGUGGCAGAGAAUUGGUUGAGUUCGAGCUCCUGUGCAGCAUGGAUUCCCAGCAGCUGCUUGACAUUUCGGUUACUUGAGUUUCCUGGAUUGCCACACCAAUGGAGGCUGAUCUUGUGAAAAGUGGAAGUGACUUUACACAGCUUGUUGGCUUACUAACACACGGCUAGUAACACACCAUUUUUGAACUUUGCAGUUCCUAAAUUGAAUAGGCAUGCUGCUCAUUGUGCCUACACAUUUGCAAGCACCUUUUCAUGGCCAGCGAUAGUGUUCUUGCAGGCACAGAAUAUAAACAAAACAUCCUGUCUCUAGGCAAACCUAAUAUAUGAAUAUGCACUGUAGUCAGAAAUAUUAAGGGCAAGUACAAUGAAAGAAUUCUGAACGAGGGGAAGUGAAAUGGGGGAAUUGUACACAAAUACUAUUGGUUGUACUGCAUAAGUAAUUAAGAGUGGAGGAGAAAUGGAUAGUGUACUCAUGUACUGCAGGCGGGUCUGUAUUAGUUCAUUGAAGGUUCACUUCAGUGAGCCUCUGUUCAUCGAACAAAAAUCAUCAAACAUUCACUUCAACAAAUGUUCACUUUACUGAAUGUGUUACACAGGGAAAGUAACUACUUGCCCAGCAUUUCCCUGUAACACACACCAGAAUAUUUUAAAUCCACCAAAGUGAGGGUAGUGUCCCCCACACCCCCUAACUAUAUAAACCAACUCUGAGAUCGCACUACAGUGGGGAAAAGGGAAAAUGUUCCUUGUGUUGGCCAACUAGUUCCUUUCCCUGUGUAAAUCCUUCACUGAUCUGAAUGUUCAAUGUAUUUUGUUCAAUGAAAGGAGGUUUGCUGAAGUGAACCUUUGAUGAACUAAUAUAGACCUACGGCAGGCAAAUGUGCUGAAGUGUCAAAGAAAAAUUUUUAACGUACAUUCUGCCAUAGUAUUGUAAAGAUAAUUAAACUCAAUGACAAUACAUGACUUACACACAUAACUGAAAAUGGUCAUGCUCACAAAGGAUGUGAGAGGGAUAUAAAGCUGCAAUGUAACAAAGGGGAGUUAAUGUGAUAUAUGUGUUAAUAAAAUGCUGGGUUGAGAUAAUAGCAAAGACAGAACAAACAUUAUAGGAUGAAUGUAUAGACUGCCGUUAUUGCAUAUGAGAUGUAUAUACAGGGAAUAUAUGUAUGCAAAUCAGCAUCACUGCUGUAUUCCCCACCUCAGCAUGUAUACACAAGAGCAAAUGAACCUUACAGUUGACAUGCCAUGCACAUCAGAAAUAGACAUAUUUUUGCAAAUAAAUGUCAGUGGCACCAAUAGGAAAGGGAUUUAUUACCUAUAAACAUGCAAUAUACGCACAGGUGUUAUAUAGUUAUGUAAAUGCUAAAUGGUAAUAUAACACUUAAAACUUAACACUGAUAACUGACAAAUGACAGCACAGAUCAGAUGACAUUUCAUGAUUACAAUACAAGUUAUCCACUAGUAAUUUCAAGUAUGACAAAAAUAACUGCAGUAAUAAAGAAAUGUUUGGAUGAAGACAGGCAAUACAAAUCAUAAUUAUUUUGAAAAUAAGUAGUGCCUGUGUGCAAAGAAUGAAAUAAUAAACCUUUGCACCAUAUUAUUUUUGAACACACGCCAGGAAAAAUAUCAGAGAGAUGCAUGUCAAUCAUGUACACCACAGAAAUACAUAUAUCGGUUGUGUUAUGAAGAACACCCUUGAAGGACUUACAGCACUUUCCUAUCAUAAGGGGUACGGAUGCCCUACCUUGUUGAACAAUUGCUUGAAAAAGCUGGCCCUCUGACUCUGCCAUAACUAUUGUCUAUGUAUAAGCCCCUGCUGUCUACGAUAUUUGUCUGACAGACAGACAGAUGUUAUUAAAUUCAAACUCCUGCCUAUGAUGCAAGGCUCUUUACAGACCUCUGUAUUUAUUACAUCUGCCACAGGAGACAGCAAUAGGGGCUAUCACAAAUGACUAAAAUCAAUAUGUGCAGUGAGAAUGCAGCUACAAAUGGAGCUACACAACUUACUGUCCACACAACAGUGAGCAGUACACUAUAAAUACUUUUUUGACAAGGAAUCUGUUUACAUUGAGUAGUAGGAACACUGUCCCAGAGUUGAACCACUUUUUAGGUAUGCUAUAUAAGUCAGUUUUCAAUGCACAUGCCAUAGGAGCACUCACAGAAUGACAUGCCGUGAAGAACAUUUUCACUGCCAUACAAUCACAACCUGUGAUUAUAUAUCAUUGUUCAACAUAAAAAUUGAUACAAUUAACUAGAUAUAAUGGUAUUUGUGUAACAUCGGUACAUUUAGGUAAUGUUGCCCUUUUCAGGAAUUGAACAGCAAGCUGUGUAACUCUACCAACUAAUAAUAUGGAUGAAACACAAGUGCCACAGUGAAAAUCUUACCACAAGUGUGACAUUCCACCUAUGUUAACUUGUUAGAUCAUAUAUAUGUGUCAUAAACAAUCUCUUUGAUAUAAAAGGGAUGGGGAGGCCUCUCCCACUGUACAUGUACAAUUUAUAAGUUUGGUGUAUGUAAUUCAUGACUUACAGUAUAAGGCCACACAAUGCCAACAGUCACUCAAUGUGAAUGUUGAACACCUGAGCAUUUGACUAUAGAAAAUAUAUGAUGUAGAGAAUGAAUGCACUGCGGUAGAAGUGUCAUCAUCAUGUUAUUUCUGCAAGGGAUAUGUGUGCCUGCAAUUGCUGUACUAAGGCAACAAAAUGUUGUCUCAUUCCCUCAAACCAGAGGAUAACACUUAGUACUUAUGUAAGGAAAAUGUAAGUACGUCAUCAUUACUCUGAAUAAAAGCAUUGUUGUGUAAGAAA
Protopterus annectens (West African lungfish) is the source of this 5858-nucleotide long non-coding RNA. RefSeq lists it as uncharacterized. NCBI's taxonomy places the organism in Eukaryota, Metazoa, Chordata, Ceratodontiformes, Protopteridae. The record is from RefSeq and is a predicted model, not a curated record. The transcript has 2 exons.